GGGCCUACGGGACGCAGCAGUGAGGAAUAUUGGUCAAUGGCCGAGAGGCUGAACCAGCCAAGUCGCGUGAGGGAAGACGGCCCUACGGGUUGUAAACCUCUUUUGCCGGGGAGCAAGCCUGAGCACGUGUGCCCAGGCGGAGAGUACCCGGAGAAAAAGCAUCGGCUAACUCCGUGCCAGCAGCCGCGGUAAUACGGAGGAUGCGAGCGUUAUCCGGAUUUAUUGGGUUUAAAGGGUGCGCAGGCGGGCUGUUAAGCCGGCGGUAAAACUUUAGGG
This 276-nucleotide ribosomal RNA is filed under the name uncultured bacterium. Its description in RNAcentral is "partial 16S ribosomal RNA". It matches the Rfam family "Bacterial small subunit ribosomal RNA", at positions 335 to 607 of the family's 1533-position model. The record is from RNAcentral.